GACGAACGCUGGCGGCGUGCUUAACACAUGCAAGUGGAGCGACGAACCAGGCUUCGGCCUGGGGCAAAGCCGCGAACGGGUGAGUAACACGUGGGUAACGUGCCCCAAUGACCGGGACAACCCGAGGAAACUCGGGCUAAUACCGGAUGUGCUGCAGAGUCGUAAGUCUCUGCAACAAAGGAAGCUUCGGCCUCCGCAUUGGGAGCGGCCCGCGGCCCAUUAGCUUGUUGGUGAGGUAACGGCUCACCAAGGCUGCGAUGGGUAGCUGGUCUGAGAGGACGAUCAGCCACACUGGGACUGAGACACGGCCCAGACUCCUACGGGAGGCAGCAGUGGGGAAUCUUGCGCAAUGCGCGAAAGCGUGACGCAGCAACGCCGCGUGAGGGAAGACGGCCUUCGGGUUGUAAACCUCUUUCUAGGGGGACGAAGGUUCAGGCGCGAAUAGCGUCCUGGACUGACGGUACCUCC
RNAcentral lists this ribosomal RNA (468 nucleotides) under uncultured bacterium. RNAcentral's name for it is "bacterial SSU rRNA". It matches the Rfam family "Bacterial small subunit ribosomal RNA", at positions 28 to 482 of the family's 1533-position model. The record is from RNAcentral.